Molecule: unclassified non-coding RNA, 337 nt
Filed under: soil metagenome
Description: partial contains 5.8S ribosomal RNA, internal transcribed spacer 2, and large subunit ribosomal RNA
Rfam family: 5.8S ribosomal RNA (bases 1-120)
Source: RNAcentral
GAUGAAGAACGCAGCGGAAUGCGAUAAGUAGUGUGAAUUGCAGAAUUCAGUGAAUCAUCGAAUCUUUGAACGCACAUUGCGCCCCAUGGUAUUCCGUGGGGCAUGCCUGUUCGAGCGUCAUUUACCCCCUCAAGCUCCGCUUGGUGUUGGGCGUCUGUCCCGCUUCGCGCGCGGACUCGCCCCAAAGGUAUUGGCAGCGGUCGUGCCAGCUUCUCGCGCAGCACAUUGCGCUUCUCGAGGCACCGGUGGGCCCGCGUCCAUCAAGCUCACCCCCCCAGUUUGACCUCGGAUCAGGUAGGGAUACCCGCUGAACUUAAGCAUAUCAAUAAGCGGAGGA